UACAGAGGGUGCAAGCGUUGUUCGGAAUGACUGGGCGUAAAGGGCAGGUAGGCCGUCCAGUAAGUUAGUAGUGAAAUCCACGGGCUCAACCUGUGUGCUGCUACUAAUACUGCUGGGCUGGAGAAAAAAAGAGGAGAAUGGAAUUUCUAGUGGAGAGGUAAAAUUCGUUGAUAUUAGGAGGAACACCAGAGGCGAAGGCGAUUCUCUAUUUUUUUCUGACGCUGAGCUGCGAAAGCUUGGGGAGCAAACAGG
RNAcentral lists this ribosomal RNA (252 nucleotides) under uncultured bacterium. Its description in RNAcentral is "partial 16S ribosomal RNA". It matches the Rfam family "Bacterial small subunit ribosomal RNA", at positions 524 to 776 of the family's 1533-position model. The record is from RNAcentral.